Homo sapiens (human) is the source of this 1893-nucleotide long non-coding RNA. Ensembl annotates it as long intergenic non-protein coding RNA 635. Lineage: Eukaryota; Metazoa; Chordata; Mammalia; Primates; Hominidae. The record is from Ensembl.
AGCAGCGUAGCUGAACAUCUUACGGAUGGCCCAGGGCUCCAAAGGCUCGUUUCCUAAGUGAGAGAGAGCCUGGCUGAAGCUGUAUUACCAUUCAUUCUCCAGCCUCCGAAGUCUCAAAGCAUCACUUCCACCAUACUCUAACUGUCAAGACAAACACAAAGGCCCAGAAACUGCCAGACUGUCUUCUGAAGUGGCUAUAAUAUUUACACUCCCAUCAGCAGUGUAGAAGGGGUCUCACUAUGUUGUCUGGAGUGCUGUGGUGGAGUGGAGUGGCUAUUCACAGGAUUCUUGGAAUGGACUGUAAAAGUCUGGAAUCAAGACUUUGUGUUUCCUCUCUAACAUGUAAAGAGCUUAGAAGUUGUCGCUAUUGCCCUUACAACAAAAUGAAGCUGGACAAACUGAAAAUCAAUGACUUUUCUUGGACUCACUAUACAGCUGAGUUUGCAGAGUAAACCACUACCCUGAAAUCUGGAAAGGCAGGUGCACCCACAGAUCCUCAGCUGAGAUCCAAUUACCUGAAAUAGAAGCUGCCAUUAGGAACACUUAAAAGAGCCUGUUCUGCUGGGACACAGAAUCACUUGCUCCAUCUCAUACAUUGAUGAUGAUUAAUUUGUAUGUGUACCUUCCAAAAAAGAUGGUUGUGUUUGAAUGGAGGCCUUCUGGACAGGAAAAUAUGGAGAGUGCGUGCUUUGGAUUCAAGACUGGGAAUGAGGGGACCAGAAACCUAUUCUGUGGCUGUUUCUUGUUAGGACUUUCCUAAGCCUCUGGAAAAGUGCAAAGUACAAUUAACAUUUGAGUCUGUCUGAGUCAUGAAGAAAUGGAGAUUACUGAAAAUAAUUCAUUUUGGUAUCUUCUUACAUCCUGAGAGACUAAUCUUUCCAAGUUCAUCUGAGGCUCCUCUUCUCCAUGACAACCUCAUCCAGGGAUUUCUUCCUGUCCUGGUGUUUUAUGACAUGUGGAAGGGGACUGUAGCAGGUGAUCUCCAAAGUCUCUGGAGACUUACUAAUGUGCAUCCUCAUCUCGCUUGUAAGGAUAAUAGCCUUCCUCCAAACCUCACACACUUUUGGAGGAGAUCACUUUUUUUAAAGUGCAUGGAAAUGUUUUGAAACAGUGAAAUCUAUAAUGAUAGGUUUCAUAAUUCUAACAUCCACACCAUAUGAAUCACAUCCUUCCUGAGAUAAUGAGCACACAAUUGCCUGGAUACCUGAAGGAAUGGAGACAGCGGCAGAAAACACUGCAGAGAGAUACAGUGAACCCACAUGUUGAAGCUUUCUAGUAUAAUAAAAAUUUCAACUGUUCUGUUGAAUCAUCUGCCUGAUUGGAGGCUACAGAAAAGAUGUCAUCUUAGGAGUGCUUGCUCUGAGUGAGGCUCAUCUUCAAAUCUGAAUGACCACAAGGAGAUUUGAUUAUACAUGUGAACACCUCAGAAGGCACAGCCCACCCAGAAGGCAGACAGGUCAGGCUGCUUUUUCUUCAUUGCUUGGAUUCAAUCCUCCGGGCGGCUCAGGCUCAAACAUAACUUAAGCAUGAUUAAACUUUAGAAGAAGCUGCCAGGAAGACUGUGAAAUCUUCAUGCCCAAGGAUCCCUAAAAUUAGGAGCAACAACCACUUGGCUCAGACGGUUUAUGGAGGCAAAGGUUUGGAUGGGAUUAGAGAUUUCUAAAUGUGAGUUCGUGUCCUCUGCCAGACCACCUUACUUCCACCAUUCCUCAGCAAAUCAAGAAAAACAGGAGAAAAGACAUGCCUUUCCAUAAGUUAAAUCUAUUCUGUUUUAAUUCUAUAUUAUAUCUGCUGUACAACUUCUUUUGUUUGUAACACCAUAUUGUUGCUAGUAACUGGAAAUUAAUUUUCACAUGCCUCAGCUUAGAAAAAUAAAAAGCAGCCCUGCAUCAA